UCUGACCGCGUGGGAUGACGUCAUAAGACGGUUUUCCGCGCCGAAACCGCGCUAGUGAGAACCAACCUUAAGUGUAUUUUAAAUUGUUUAUAAAAUAUUUUUGCAUGCAUUUUUCAGAUUUUACAUAUAAACAAAGCUGUGAAAUAUUUUAGUCGAAUAUAAACUUUUGAGAUUGGAAAUAACUAAAUUCUUAAUAGUUUAGUAUAUUUUUCCACAAUUAAUUCUUAGAAGUUUAUUUGUUAACAAAAGUUAUAUGAAUUUGAUUUAUAAUUUGCAGUUUUUGUCAGAUUAAAUAUAUACCAUAGAUUACUUUACUUUUUAAAUUAAUUUCCAGGAAUGAAUAUCUAAAUCUGUUAGUUUUAUCACUUCCAGGUUUAUUUGCUUAUGCUUUGAAACAAUGUGUAACUGUUUUUACUUCACAAUUUUAUAAUUCCACUGUCAGAUGAUGGAAUAAGUAGCCAUUUAAGUACAUUAAAACAAGAAUUGUAGAGGUAACUUAGCAUUGAUCAUUUCUGAAUAUACUAUAUUCAGUAUUUUUAUUUUAGAAAUGAGUAAUUAUACUUUUGCUGCCAUUUAAUAAAAUGGAUAUAUUAAAGAUUUUUUUAUAAACUUCAAAGUUGCUAGAUAAUGGAAAAUUUUACUUUAUAAUGUGAAAUUAAUAGUAGCUACUAAAUAUUCAGUAUUGAAAUGAAUAUGCCUAGCAUGAAAUAAGUUAACACUUUUCUCUAAUGAAUAAAUUUAAAUAGUUUAACUGUUCAAUUACAUUUCUAGAAUGUGAAAUUAAGUUAUAUAGCUUGUAUUUAUUAUUUUUGAGAUGUGUUGAAUAUGGUUUUAAAUAAUAGAUCUAUUUAAAUAUUUAUUAAUGUAUUUUUUAUGUUUAGGAUUAUCCAAUAAACUAGUACUUACCUUUUUAUACUAAUUGUGAUAAGUAUUUCACUUUGCAGAAUAUGAAUAAGUAAUGCUACUGUUGAAAAUUUAUCUUUAAAUUUGUUGUACUUUGAGAUUUUACUGUAAAUUGGAAAAUUUAAUUUGCAUUUUUUAAUUGUUGACCAAGUAUUUUUACUUAGUAUUAACAUGGAAAUAUUCUCAAUGUAGAAAUUUUUUCUGCACUUGCCUUUACAAAAAUGCUACAUGUGAAAAAUUUUGUUACAUGCCAAUUUUGGAGAAUAUUUGUGAAUUGAAUGUUGUCUUAAAUGAGAUGUAGGAAUAGAUGGAAUUAUUGUAUAUUUUUUUUACAUCACUAAUUUUUUAUUAAUAUACCCAUAAUUUGUUGUCUAAAUGCAAUGUCUUGCUUAAGAAUAUUUCUAGUACAUAAAAAUGACAACUAAAUUUCGAAGAAAUAUUUAACUUUAACUUUAUAAACAUUUUCUUUUCAGAUUUAAGUUUAAUAAUAAAAAUAAGAAACUUAAGGGCACUGAAUUUUAUUGUAAUUGGAUUUUCUGCAGAAUCAUUGUUGCACAUUACUUAGCUGAAAUUAAUUCAAAGAAAUUACUAAACAAUAUUUUAAUACUAUCAAAGCCAAGAAAUUUUUGUAAAUUAACACUAAUUUAGAAGGUUGUAAAUAUAAUUUAAUUUUGAGAUGUAAUUAUUCUGUGCAAAAUUUUUCUUCUAGAGAAUUGUCCUAAACACGCAUGUGACUUGAGAUUGUUCUUUAUAAGAAAGUCAUUACUUUUGUCUUUUCCAUUGUAAUUUAUUUCAAUAGACCGAUUUAUGUACUGUAAAAUAUAAUAUUAAUAGAAAAAAAUUGUUUGAAUGUUUCAGAUAUUCAGAAUUUUAAUUUUGAAAGACUUGAUUUUGUAUGUACAAUAUUGUAAUUGAAAACAUUUUAUUGCUAAUGUGUUUUUUGCAUACAAAUUUUUUUCUAGUAUCCUGAGAAGUUGGAGGUGAUUUUAAACAAUAACUCAAAUUGCCUACAGGAAUUUUGAAGUUCUAAGGAAGUGAAGUAAUUUAGCUUUUCUCUAAUAAAAAAUUUUAAUACAUGUUACAACAGAAUUAAGUACUGAAUAACUCUAUAUAACAAAUACUUUAUUUUCUAAUACAUUGUGAACUUUAUUUUUUAUAAAUUUGAUUUUCUUUGUAGGUUAAUAAAAUGUGAAUUUUUAUAAAUUGUAGAUAACUAUUAUUAAAGGUUACCAACAGUCAUAAAUUUUUGCAUUAGAUAUUUAUAUGGUCUGAAAAAAUUGAACUUGCUUGGGAAAAAAGCUGUAAAUGUAACAAUUAAGAGAGAGUAUACUUUUCUUUUCUAGCAUAUAUAAAAAUUUAUUUUCAAAUGUUAAUUAUUUUGAGAUGCUUAAAUCAAAUAUUCAAACUAUCAGUAAUCAAACAUUUGCAUUUUUUUAAAAUUUACAAAAUCAAAAACAUUACCUCCUUAUCAAAUAUUUGAUCAGUCUGCUUUCUACUUGACCAAAAUGUGUUUUAAAUUCAUAUGUAAGGUUGAAAAACUUUGUUUUUUAUAGGAAAUAAGUUAAAACUUCUAAAAGUAAAGUGUGUGAAAAUUGAAAUGGCUUGAAUGGAAGUUCUUCAAAUAAACAUUGAAUCAUUUGAGACUGCAGGGAGUAUUUUUUUUAUAAAAUCAGUAAUUGAUAUAAUUAUAGAAAAUCAGUAUAAAUGCAAAUUCUUUUUAAUAAAUUUUUAUUGCAAUUUCCAGAUUUGUUUGCUGUAUUUCGUCUUAUGUUUUAUAGGAAAUUAUACUAAACCAUCUUGUACUUUGUAUUGGAAAAUUACAGAAUAGCUUGCUGCAAUACAUAAAUUAUCAAAUGGCACUGUGUGUAAUUAUCCUUUUUUGUUAAGAAUUAAUAUUGAUUACAGUAUUAUUUUAUUCAAAUUUGUAGGAUAUUAAAGAUGUUAAUGAAAUGUAGAAAGUUGAUAUGAAAUGGAUUAGUUAAAUACAUACUAAUUUUAAUCUGAAAUCAGUUAUUAGAAUGUAAGUUUUGCUUUCAAAAUUUGAGAGAGGUGUGUAGUUGAAUUAUUAUUUAAAAUCAUUAACUUAUGAUAUGAUAUAACUGGAUACAUUUAUUUAUGUAGAUAUGUUUUUAUAGCAACUUGUAGAUUAUUAUUCUUCAGCAAAGUAUUGUGGUAUUUUUAUAAACAUUAUUAAAUAAAAUGUAUACCCAAAUAUAUUUAUUUUGAUUUUAAAAUCACAAAGUAUAUUUCUCUAUAGUUAAUUUCAUAUAGAAAAUUAGAAAGGAAGACUAAAUUAUUCCCAUAGUCUCAGGAUCAAAGAAGUAAGAGUUUUUGGUUUGAUAAACACUAUUUUUUAUGCAAUUCUUUUAACAAAAUAUUUUCAUCUUUUCAACAUUUCUUAAAUGAUUAUUUGGUACUAGGAUAUUUUUUCAGAUGGAUGUACUGUUUGUUGAAACGAAAAUCUGGGAAUUAUAAUUAAUCUUUUGAAACCUAAAGCUUUAGCAACUUUUAUUUCAGAUAAAUUUCAUUAGUUUGCCAAUUCAAAAAUUAAAUGAUUUACAGAAUAAAGCAGUGUCAUAAUUUUCAAGUAAUGGGUACUAAAUAUUUCUAUUUUAACGUUUGCAUAUAAAAAUUGUUUUUAGUUAAUAUAAAUGAAAUGAAUUUUUUAUUGACUUAAUAUUUCUUAAUUUUAAAAAUAAGUUUGAUUUUAGGUUUUCAUUAUGGAAUCAGAAAAUAUUUGAAUGUUUAGCUAAGUAUGGUAUAUAAUAUCUAAUUUUUAUUAAUUAAUGAAAUAAAAUUUAUAAAAUUUGAUUGCCAAUGAAAUUUGAUUUUUUUUUUAAUAGCCUAAAAUUGUUAGCUCAAAUUUUGAUUGUUUUGAAUGUUUAUUCAGAUUAGUUAUUGGAGACAGCAGUGUUUAUAAUUAUAAAGUAAUGAGUAUUACUUGUGCAAACAGUACUGAAAGGUAGCAAUCAGCAAAUUUCUGAAUCAUUUUGCAAGAAUUAUGUAACUAUAUAUUAACUAAUUUACUGUAUUAAAGUGUAUAAUUAGUGUUCUCCCAAACACAAUUACUAUUUUUUGAUUUCUGUGUAGGUUGACUGACUUGAGCAAAAAUUUAGAUGUGGUUUCAGAGAUCUAAAAUGAAAAAAUGUGUACUAUUAUGAGUGUCAUUGGAAUGCAGAGAAUACCUUUUGUUUUCUACUUUAUCACUGUUGUCAUUAGAACUGUGAUUUAUGGUGUUAAUUCAUAAUUUAGCAAUUAAUGAAGAUUCUAUUGAGUUUAAAGUAUUUGAUCUUGAAUACAAAGAUAAUUUUGAUACUUCAAAACAAAUGGAAUGCUGUUUGCAGGGAGUAGAACAUUUUUUUAAUAUUUCCUUUAGUAGUGUUCAACUUUUGCUCAUAUUAGAUAUAUUAAGUGAUUUGAAGAUUGCAUGUAAUUGAAAACAAAAUAUAUGAAACAUUAUAAUAGCUAAAUCUAAAGUUGAACACUUGGUUUAUAAUAUACUUUUAUACAAACCAAAUGUUGAACUUAGUUAAUUUUUUAUAUUCUUUUAAUUAUAGAUUUGUUUGUUAACAUAAUUUUUGGAAAUCAUAUUUGCAUAAGUGACCUUGAAAAUUUCUUUUUAAAUCUGCAUGUUUUUGAUAUAUUAAGGGGAAAACAUUUCCGUUAUUUUUAUUCUUAUUUCAAAUGGACUAAAUGGUUUUCAAGACUCAAUUUUGUUUGUUUCCGUCUAAAUAUUAACACAAGAAUUUGAAUUAUUGCAUGCUAUAAAUUCACUUUACUAUCAUUUAUUGCUACUGAUUUUAGAUGUAUGCAAAUUAUUGAUUUAAUGAUUGAUCAAAGUGCAUGAUUUUUUCCUCCAAUUAUUGUAAUGAUUUGUUAAAGCAUAUUCAAUUUUGACCUGUUUAUAAGAAAAAAAUUUUUAUAAUAAUGAAAAAUUACUUUAUAAAAUUUUCUUGUUUGAAUAUUUUAGUGUAAAAGAUAUUCAACUGUUUUGAAUUUAAUUUUUUAUGUGAAUUUUGAUUUUCAGAAUGUCCUACUAUGAAGAUUGCAAUUGUAGAGCAUGUGAUUAUCUGUAAAAAUGAUUUCUACUUGAAAUAUUUAUGCUCAAAUUGUGAAAUGUUUUGAAUCUCCAAAUAUGUUAAGAUGAAUAUAUGUAGUCUGUUUUUAAGGUUUUGUGGACUAAGUUUUCACUUUUAUGUACUGUUUUCACUUGUUUGAUCAAAUUCAAUAUAUUAAUAAAAGCUCAAAAUAUGCAAUAUAUGCCAAUUUUUAAAGUUCGAUUUUUUAAUUUUCUUUUUACAUCUGCAGAACCAAAAUGCAUGUACUGUAAAAUUUGAAUUUCUUGUCAAAGCUAUUUUAAAUCCAAAUAUAAAUUGUUUGACACAAGUGUGACACGUAUACAUACAUAAUUGAUAUACAGAUAGUCUGACUUAAAAUGAGUUAAAGCUGUGGGGUUCAUUUUUGAAGUCAUAAUGCUAAAAAUUUGACUUUCACUAUUAAUGUUUAUUAAAAUAGUGUCCUAAUAAAGAACACAAGUACUGGAGGAAGGGUUUGAGCUUUUUUAUCAAAAUUAUUGGGUCAGACUCAAACCCAUUGAAUUGCACUGUCCGUUUGCAAAAUUUAUUAAAUCUCCAUUCUAAGUCAAGGACUAUAUUUUUUUCUAAUAACACUUCAUUGUCUUAAAAUUCUAAAUAAUAAGUGAAUGAUUUAUUAUUUGGAAUUUGGGAUAAAUGAUUACUUAACUUAUUUUUAUGCAGAAUUUUAUAUUGUUAAUUUCAGGUAUGAAAUUUGAAGUGAAUAAGGAAUAUUUGCUAAAUCAAAGUUAUAUCUUAAAGAUUUAAGAGCAUUUUGAUCUAGCAAAUCGACUUUAUAAUUAAUAUGAAAACUAUUUUAUUCCAUAGGUGUUUAAAGCUUCUUUUUCCACAAGCUUGUUAUCAUGACUGUUACUUUUAAUUUUUUAGAUGCAAUGGAAAAUUAAGUUUUUCAGGAUGUUAAAUGCUUAAAAUUUGUAAUUUUAAUGAAAUUAGUUGAUAAAUUAUUAAAUAUUUUCAUGUUUUAAUUCUGUUUAAAUCAUUCUUGUGAAAAUGGGCAUUUGUAAAUCUAACAAUGUGUGUCGAUUUUAAAAUCGUAAUUUUGAAAUGAAUUUCUGCUUUGAUUAUAAAAGGAAGUUUUUGAAUUUUUUUAUAUUUCAUUGAUGAAUGAAUUAAUUUUACACUAAUAUAGUGAAUAAACUUUAUGCCUUAAUAUACUGAAUAAUGUAUUUUGUAAUAUUCAUUGCUAAAUAUCGGUGAAGAAAAUGUGUUAAUCUUUGUUUUAUAUUAUGAACAUGUUAACUAAAAAUUGCUAAUGUUGGAAAGAAUUAGUCAAAUUUUAGCUAUCGAGUUUGUAAUUUGUAAUGUUACUAAGAUGUUAAAAAUAUUCAGUUUAUCACAAUUUAACCCAGUUUAUAAGUUAACUGCCUUUAAUUAUGUAAACAUAAAAGUAGUUAUGUAAGUACAUGUCUGAAUAUAUAUGUAUAAUGACAUAAGACAAGACAUAUUUCAAAUGUCUUAAAGGUAAUGUAAAAAUUUUUAAUUUUGAAAUCUAAUUUUUAAAAAAAGUUCAAAAAUUCUAUAAACUAUUUUAUGAAUUCAUUUAAAUUUUAUUGCAAACAUGUUGGAAAGGUUACAAACAGGAUUUGAAAUUGUUGAAUAUUUAAGAUAUUUUUACAGAAGAAUCUGGAAAAUAAAAGCAAGUAAUUUUAAAAUUUAUUAAUUUUUAAUUAUAUGAAAUUGCAAAAUUAUCAUUUUGAUAGCUGAAAUCUGGCUCGUCAAACUACUCUUCUUGAGGUUCACUCUUCAAAAUUGAAAUUUUCAGGGAGUAAAAAAAAUAUAAAUUACUGAAAUUUCUUGUGAUAUUUUUCAGUCCGCAAUAAAAUUAAUUCAUUAUUUUUGUGUAUAGGUAUGAUUGUUCCUGUUUGAAAAGUUAGGUACUUUUUGAGGUAGAAAUUAUCAAGUGAAGAGGGCUUGCUUCAAUUCCAAUUUUUAGAAAAAUUGGACAGUUAAAUAUUUGCAGUUUUCAAGAAAGUUGGAUUUAAAUAAAACAAUAUGGUUCAUUUAUUAACUGUACUACUAUAAAGAUUUAAAAAUUUAUUCUUGAAGACAGGAAAUUCGAAUGUAAGCAGAAAACUGCCAUAUUAUGUAAGACAGAGUAUAUAUCAAUUUUGUACCAGUGUUUCUCCAACUUAUUGUAUCUGGUGAACCUCUAAGAAAUCUUUUGUGUUGGGAAAUGAUUACAAUCUAAUACGUAGUGGAAUGUUUACCAGAACUCUAGUUUGAGAAGCACUGGUUUCUUUUGUUUUUAGUUCUACAUUUCAAGAUACAGAAAAAGGAUGCAGCAAUUUAUUAUAACUCUUCAAAUUGAUGGCUUAAAAUGAAAGCGGAUAACAUUUAGAUCCAGUAGAAAUGGAUAGAGAAUAGCAUCAAAUUUGAAGCUUGCUCAUCUGUUUAAUGCCCCGAGUCUGUCUUUUCAUUGUUGGGAAAAUAGCUGAAAUUACCACUGUGUAGUUUUGUGCUUGGUUUGUGAUUCACUAUCAGUAUGGUUUGGUGAUUUGUAAUUUGCAUAUUCCUCACACGAUGAACCGAAGACAAAAAUAUUAGAUUGACAAGUUUUACUAGCGUAUCUUUCGUAGAAUGUAUAAAUGUGACUUCAGUUUGGUACGAUAGUGAAAAGAAGACUACAGUUCACUUUGGAUUUUGAAGAAAUGAAACGAUUUGGUUUAGUUCAAUAAAAUUUGUGGUUUUUAAAGCUACUUCCCCGAGCAAUUUCGACGGAAGAACAUUUUUUAAUUGUAAAUGGAAUAGCAUUUGUUUAAUAUGACAAUAAAUAUACGAAGUUUGAAUACAUGGAGUUAAAUACCACUUGUAAAAAUAUAAAUUAGUUAAUGAAAUUUAUGUAUUUAAUAAAAUUUCAGAUUUUAAUGGUAGUCUUAGUGCAAAUCGUGUCUUUAUUCUAGUA
RNAcentral lists this long non-coding RNA (7899 nucleotides) under Androctonus crassicauda. Lineage: Eukaryota; Metazoa; Arthropoda; Arachnida; Scorpiones; Buthidae. The record is from RNAcentral.